Molecule: ribosomal RNA, 2253 nt
Filed under: Acidaminococcus intestini RyC-MR95
Lineage: Bacteria; Bacillati; Bacillota; Negativicutes; Acidaminococcales; Acidaminococcaceae
Description: bacterial LSU rRNA
Rfam family: Bacterial large subunit ribosomal RNA
Source: RNAcentral
UAAACAGGGCGAAUAGUUGGUGUUCGUAGACCCGAAACUGUAGUGAUCUACCCAUGAUCAGGUUGAAGCGCAGGUAAAAAUGCGUGGAGGACCGAACCGGUGAGCGUUGAAAAGCUUUCGGAUGAAUCGUGGGUAGCGGUGAAAUUCCAAUCGAACGCAGAGAUAGCUGGUUCUCCUCGAAAUAGCUUUAGGGCUAGCCUCAAGCAGUAAGCAUAGGCGGUAGAGCACUGAUCGGGAUAGGGUCCGUAAAGGAUACCGAACCCUGUCAAACUACGAAUGGUUAUGCUGCAGAGCUUGGGAGUCAGACUACGAGAGAUAAGUCCCGUUGUCAAAAGGGAAACAGCCCAGACCGUCAGCUAAGGUCCCCAAUGCCAUACUAAGUGGAAAAGGAUGUGGGGUCUCAUAAACAACCAGGAUGUUGGCUCAGAAGCAGCCACCAUUUAAAGAGUGCGUAAUAGCUCACUGGUCGAGAGGCCCUGCGCCGAAGAUUCCCGGGGCUAAAGUAUGGAACCGAAGCUACGGAUGCGGUACUUGUACCGCGUGGUAGAGGAGCGUUCCCAUUGGGUUGAAGUCGUCCUGGAAGGGACGGUGGACUGGUGGGAAGUGAGAAUGUUGGCAUGAGUAGCGAAAAGAUAGGUGAGAAUCCUAUCCACCGAAAGCAUAAGGAUUCCUGAGCAACGAUCGUCGUCUCAGGGUAAGUCGGGACCUAAUCCGAGGCAUGGAGCGUAGGAGAUGGACAACUGGUUGAUAUUCCAGUACCGGCAGCAAUCGUUUGAACGAUGGAGUGACGCAGGAAGGCAGGUCCGCGCGAGAAUGGUAGAUCGCGUACAAGCGUGCAGGCUGGUGCACAGGCAAAUCCGUGUACUGAGGCUGAGGCGUGAUGUGGAGGGAACUUGUUCCCGAAGGGAUUGAGCCUACGCUGCCGAGAAAAGCUUCUAGUGAGAAAGCUGCCGCCCGUACCGUAAACCGACACAGGUAUGCGGGGAGAGAAUCCUAAGGUGCGCGGGAGAACCCUCGUUAAGGAACUCGGCAAAAUGUACCCGUAACUUCGGGAUAAGGGUAGCCACAGUGGUGAAGGGACUUGCUCCUGGAGCCUAGUGUGGUCGCAGAGAAGAGGCCCAAGCGACUGUUAACCAGAAACACAGGUGCCUGCGAAAGAGAAAUCUGAUGUAUAGGUGCUGACACCUGCCCAGUGCUGGAAGGUUAAAGAAGGAUGUCCGGGUUCGACCCAAAGCAUUUGACUGAAGCCCCAGUGAACGGCGGCCGUAACUAUAACGGUCCUAAGGUAGCGAAAUUCCUUGUCGGGUAAGUUCCGACCCGCACGAAAGGUGUAACGAUUUGGGCACUGUCUCAACGAGGGACCCGGUGAAAUUGAAAUACCUGUGAAGAUGCAGGUUACCCGCGACUGGACAGAAAGACCCCAUGGAGCUUUACUGUAACCUAAUAUUGGGUUCUGAUAUUCGACGCACAGGAUAGGUGGGAGGCUUGGAGCAUGGUCCUCUGGGAUCAUGGGAGCCGCCGUUGGGAUACCACCCUUCGAAUAUCGGGAUUCUAACCGCAGGAGCAACGAUCCUCGGGACAGUGUUAGGCGGGCAGUUUGACUGGGGCGGUCGCCUCCUAAAGGGUAACGGAGGCGCCCAAAGGUUCCCUCAGCGCGGACGGAAACCGCGCGACGAGUGUAAAGGCAGAAGGGAGCUUGACUGCGAGCCAAACACGGCGAGCAGGUACGAAAGUAGGGCUUAGUGAUCCGGUGGCAUCCAAGUGGAAGGGCCAUCGCUCAACGGAUAAAAGCUACCCUGGGGAUAACAGGCUAAUCUCUCCCAAGAGUCCAUAUCGACGGGGAGGUUUGGCACCUCGAUGUCGGCUCAUCACAUCCUGGGGCUGAAGUCGGUCCCAAGGGCUGGGCUGUUCGCCCAUUAAAGUGGUACGUGAGCUGGGUUCAGAACGUCGUGAGACAGUUCGGUCCCUAUCCAUCGCGGGCGUAAGAGAUUUGAAGGGGGCUGCUCCUAGUACGAGAGGACCGGAGUGGACGGACCGCUGGUGUACCAAUUAUCCUGCCAAGGGUAUAGUUGGGUAGCUACGUCCGGAACGGAUAAACGCUGAAAGCAUCUAAGCGUGAAACCAUCCUUAAGAUGAGAUCUCUCAUAGAGUAAUCUAGUAAGACACCUUGAAGAUUACAAGGUUGAUAGGCAGGAUGUGUAAGCACAGCAAUGUGUUAAGCUGACCUGUACUAAUAUGUCGAGGGCUUGACUU